AUGAAGGUUGGUGUUAUCAUUGCAAAUGCUGGAGAAACUAUAAAGCUUAUCCAACUUCAAUCAGGGGCAAAGAUCCAAGCUGAUGCUGGCCCAUAUGGCACUAUCUCUAAUUGGAAGUACAAUGCACCUCAACCUAGUGUUGAGCAAUUCCAGAUGCAAAUUGCUAACAAGGUCUAG
This 177-nucleotide ribosomal RNA is filed under the name Triticum aestivum (bread wheat). RNAcentral's name for it is "partial small subunit ribosomal RNA". The record is from RNAcentral. Lineage: Eukaryota; Viridiplantae; Streptophyta; Magnoliopsida; Poales; Poaceae.